AACGAACGCUGGCGGCGCGCCUAAUACAUGCAAGUCGAGCGAGAAGACGUAGCAAUACGUUUGUAAAGCGGCGAACGGGUGAGGAAUACAUGGGUAACCUACCCUCGAGUGGGGAAUAACUAGCCGAAAGGUUAGCUAAUACCGCGUACGCUCCUUGGACUUCGGUUCAGGGAGGAAAGCGAUACCGUGGGUAUCGCGCUCUUGGAUGGGCUCAUGUCCUAUCAGCUUGUUGGUGAGGAACGGCUCACCAAGGCUUCGACGGGUAGCUGGUCUGAGAGGACGAUCAGCCACACUGGCACUGCGACACGGGCCAGACUCCUACGGGAGGCAGCAGUAAGGAAUAUUGCGCAAUGGGCGAAAGCCUGACGCAGCGACGCCGCGUGGGGGAUGAAGGUCUUCGGAUUGUAAACCCCUUUCGGGAGGGAAGAUGGAACGAGCAAUCGUUCGGACGGUACCUCCAGAAGCAGCCACGGCUAACUUCGU
RNAcentral lists this ribosomal RNA (483 nucleotides) under uncultured bacterium. RNAcentral's name for it is "bacterial SSU rRNA". It matches the Rfam family "Bacterial small subunit ribosomal RNA", at positions 29 to 506 of the family's 1533-position model. The record is from RNAcentral.